RNAcentral lists this long non-coding RNA (4121 nucleotides) under Canis lupus familiaris (dog). Its description in RNAcentral is "lncRNA (ENSCAFG00030004423.1)". Lineage: Eukaryota; Metazoa; Chordata; Mammalia; Carnivora; Canidae. The record is from RNAcentral.
AGGUGCAGAAAUGGACAGUGACAAAUGUCACUGAGAAAGUUGUUCAUACAAGGUAAUGACCAUCAUAUAAGUUUCUUCUAUACUUCAAAAAUAUUCAAGGAAAAUAGAACUCUCUUUUCCAAGGCCUUUCCUCUUUUUUCAUUUAAAAUUUCUUUAAAAACCAACAAAAUCAGGGAUCCCUGGGUGGCGCAGCGGUUUGGCGCCUGCCUUUGGCCCAGGGCGCGAUCCUGGAGACCAGGGAUCGAAUCCCACGUCGGGCUCCCGGUGCAUGGAGCCUGCUUCUCCCUCUGCCUAUGUCUCUGCCUCUCUCUCUCUCUCUCUGUGUGACUAUCAUAAAUAAAUAAAAUUUAAAAAAAAAAAAAAAAAAAAAAAAAAAAAAAAAAAAAAAAAACCAACAAAAUCCCACUACAUGUUCCCCAGCUUCCCUUCUGAAAAUUAACUUAAGCAUACAUCUACAUGAUAGAUGUAGAUGUUUAGUAGUUGGGUUGAUCACCUGAGUCAUGAAUCCUUAACAGAGGUUGUCUAUGAAUCUCAUUGUUUGGUUUGGACGAUGAUGAAGAAAGAUAAGAAUAUUGUAGAUUCAAAAACCUAUCCUAAAAAAAAAAAAAAAAAAACCUAUCCUGACUAAUUUGCCAUUCAAGAACCAACUGCAUUUGGAUAGGUCCAAUAUUGGAAAUUCAGUAGGUUCAUGAAAGAUAAUCCUCUACUUCUGAUUUGGAUAAUGAGAUAUCCUCCUCUUGCUCACUUGCUCAGUAAGAGAAAAUGAAAAAGAGUUGCAUCUUGUCAGGUCUUUGGAACUGGAGGUAGUGCAUCAAAUAACUGAGGUCACAUUUGGACCCAACACCAGUUCCCAAACAUAACUCAAAUAUUACUGAAAUUGAUCAUGACUUUAUACUUUGCCCAGUUUGAACUCAGAACUUUGUUGAACCUAAUUUUAUGUGUAGGUUGCCUUUACACGGAAGGGGCAAAUUUUUAUGUUAGCCUACUCUUCCUCAGCUCUUCCUUCUAAAUCCUUUAUUUCAGUCACUCAGUGUUAUCAUUUUCUUCCGUCAAAAAGUUCUUGUUUAUCAUUCCUGUCAUACUUCUAAUCUAAAAUUGUAUCUCUCAACAAGAAUUAUCUUGACAACUUCCUAACGAUAUUGCAUUUAUAAUCUCUUCUCUGUAUUAGUCAUCCUAAGCAGUAUCACAGUAUUUAUUAUCCUAAAACAGUAUUUUAAUUAGUUCACUUCUUGCUUUAAAUCUUCUAGAAUCUUCUCGUUCUUAAUUUUGAAACUCAUUCUCUUAGUAAUCAGGAGUUGUGAAGAAUCUAUGUUCAACUUCACUAAUCCAAACAUUUUCUGCAAAUCCUCAACAUUAACCCUAAUCCAAAAUAUAAGCUUUUCACAUGAUAGUUACCUACCUGAAAUAUCCUUCGUUUGCCCCUAAUCAAAUCCAUUUAUACCCUAUUCAAACAUAAGUGAUUUCCCUGGCCCCACUCAAAUUCAUCUUCCAUUUCCCUCCCCUCAUCCUUUCUUCCAAAAACAAUGUUCUAUUUCUAUACACCCCAUAGGAAUUCUUGUUAAUUCCACAUAUUUUGUUAUUUCCCAAUUGGUUUGCAUUGUAUAUGUUCUAUAUGUUUAACCUUGUCUCUAUCUUUGCUGUAUACCUGAAACAAGGGCAAAUAUCUUUGACAAAGGAAAUAUUUCAAAAUUAUCUUCAUAAUAAUUCCAGUUUAUCACCUCUACACUAGGUGUCAGUUGUACAGAUCUAACCAUCUGACCUGAACUCUUUUUAUAAGAAGUCUCAUAUAGUUCAAUAAUAUAUGACAGAAAUAUUUAUUAAUAUUUCCUCAUUGUUUGACUUAACUUUGCUCCAACAAUUCUAAUGAAACCACAUUCUCCCUUCCUAAUUAGAUACAAUCUUUUUAAAAUAUCUAUUGGAAGAGUUAAUUUAUUUAUUUGAGAGAGCAGAGAGAGAGAGACACAAGCAAUGAGGAGGGACAGAGAGAGAGAAGGAGAGCAGACUCCUCACUGAACAGGGAGCCCAACUUGGAACUUGAUCCCAGGACCCUGAGACCAUGACCUGAGCUGAGGGCAGAUGCUUAACCAAAUAACCCACCCAGGUGUCCGUAAUUAGAUAUAAUCUAAUUUGGUAUCACUUAAACCUCACACUACAAUUGUUCACACUAUUUCUCCUGCUUCCAUCUAAGACAUGUCAUCAUUCUUUAAUUUAUUCAUCCAACAUACUACCAUAUUCCAGAUACUCUUAAUAAACAGAUAGGACAAGGUUUCUGACCUCAUGGAACUUGUGUUCCACCCUCAAAAAGGAAAAAGAUGAUGCUUCUAUGUAAACAGGACCUCCCAAAUCCACUCCUUCCCUUGGUGUCUAGAACCCUUCUUUAAGUAUGCUCUUUUUGGAAAAUAAAAAUAAAUAUAAUCACAUUGAUGAGGUAUGUCCAAGAAACAGAGAAAGCACUAAAAGAACUUCUAAUGGCCAAAGUUGGAACAAUUUGGAUAAGAAAAUAAAUGGAAUAGUAGUAGAUAAUAACCCAAAGAAUAAAAUAGAUAUCCAAUAAUUCAUACUUAUAUAAAUGAUUGAUUGAAUGAAUUAAUAAGUGAGGGAGAAGAGACAAACCUCCCAUGUAGAAGUAUUCCAAAUAAUUUGUGUAGAUACUCCAUCCUAAAGAAAGAGAAAACUUUACAGUGGAAAAACUGACAAUAAAAAUGCACUUUACCUCUGUGGUCUUCCCAAUAGCAUCAGACAAAUUUCAAAACUGGAGUAUUCUAUAAAAUAUCUGACCAGUAACUCUCAAAACUGUCAAAGUCUUCAAACAUAAGGAAAGUGUGAGAAACUGUCAUGGUCAAGAGGAGCAAAAAGAUAGCAUAACAACUAAAUGUAAUGUGGUAUCCUAAAUGAGAUAUUGCAAUAGAAAAAAAUAUAUUGAAAGGUUAAAACUCAGAAAAUCUGAAUAAAAACUAUAGAUUUUAUUUUAAAAUAAUACAUCAACAUUGGUUCAUUAAUUGUAACAAAUCCAUCAUAUUAAUGUGAGAUGUUAAUAAUAGGAGAAACUGAGCAUAUGAUAUAUGGGAACCAGCUAUACUACCUACACAAUUUUUCUGCAUAUCUAAAAUUAUUCUAAAAAUAUUGUCUAGUGAUGGGCACUGAGGGGGGACACUUGACGGAAUGAGCACUGGGUGUUAUGCUAUAUGUUGGCAAAUCGAACUCCAAUAAAAAAAUACAAAAAAUAAAAUAAAUAAGUCUGUUAAAAAAUAAAUACAGUCCUCAAGUUAAGUGACAACUAUUUUUUUAUAAAUUUAUUUUUAUUGGUGUUCAAUUUGUCAACAUAUAGAAUAACACUCAGUGCUCAUCCCAUCAAGUGCCCACCUCAGUGCCCAUCACCCAGUCACCCCCACCCCCCACCCACCUCCCCUUCCACCACCCCUAGCUCGUUUCCCAGAGUUAGGAGUCUCUCAUGUUCUGUCUCCCUUUCUGAUAUUUCCCACUCAUUUUUCUCAUUUCCCCUUUAUUCCCUUUCACUAUUUUUUAUAUUCCCCAAAUGAAUGAGACCAUAUUUUCUCCAUGCUGAAAAAUGUAUGGCUUAAGUGAUGGGUUGUUUUGUUUUGUUUAAGUGAUGGGUUUGAAAGAAAAUUUGUUUUUUUUUUAUAAAUUUAUUUUUUAUUGUGUUCAAUUUGCCAACAUACAGAAUAACACCCAGUGCUCAUCCCAUCAAGUGCCCCCCCUCAGUGCCUGUCACCCAUUCACCCCCACCCCCGGCCUCCUCCCCUUCCACCACCCCUAGAUUGUUUCCCAGAGUUAGGAGUCUUUAUGUUCUGUCUCCCUUUCUGAUAUUUCCCACACAUUUCUUCUCCCUUCCCUUAUAUUCCCUUUCACUAUUAUUUAUAUUCCCCAAAUGAAUAAGAACAUAUAAUGUUUGUCCUUCUCCGAUUGACUUAUUUCACUCAGCAUAAAGAAAUUUAAAGAUCUGUCCUGCAGGCUGCUCACUGCAAGGACGUCAUUCAACCCCACUGUUUUGCUUCUCUCAUUCUUUUCUUUAACCUGCUGGUGACCUGUGUUUGACCUCCCAUUGCAACUUCCUCACUACCCUCACCAGUAUCCCUGUGAUGACUUCUCUUAAACAUCUC